Molecule: long non-coding RNA, 2316 nt
Organism: Peromyscus maniculatus bairdii (prairie deer mouse)
Lineage: Eukaryota; Metazoa; Chordata; Mammalia; Rodentia; Cricetidae
Source: RefSeq, a predicted model, not a curated record
GAGUUGACGGGAACUCUUAGUUACUCUGCACCAGCCAGUGACCUAAUAUCGGAGACUACAGUCUCAAGCUGACAGUUUCCUAAGUGUAAAGACACUUUACAGGAAGAAAAAGUCUAAUUAGGGCACCACCAUCUCUAAAAUCCUGGGUCUUCUGCUGCAACUGGGCUGCACUUUCACCAAUGGCAUUUCCUGGCCUCUCACAGCUGCUCUCCACGACCCCUUCACGCCUUCGAAACCGGUACCACCGGAGUGAUUCUUACAUUACCAAGUUCAACUGCCAGCACAAGACCCUGGCCACAGAUGCAUGGCUUUGUUGUGUGCUGCUCAUCUGCCACCAGAGGCUUCAUGCCGCAUGUGUCUGCAGACAUGACCCGGCACCUCCAAACUGUGAGCCACAGUGAACUUGAAGUUAACACACACUGAAUGGCAUCUAACACAGGGAAGCAGCGAACCAAAAGCAAUUCAGAAGCAAACACUGGGGAAAUUAUUAAUUGAUAGACAGACCCUCAUGUAGCACAAGCUGGCUUCAAACUCAUUAUGUAGCCAAGGAUGGCCUUGAACUUAUGAUCCUCCUGCCUCCCCGUCUCUAGUGCUGGGGUUACUGGCUUGUACCAUCAUAUCCAAUUCUGUUUGGUGCUGGGGAUUGAGCAUAAGGUCUGUGUUUACUAGGCAAGUCUUCUGCUAACCAAGCCCCAGGCCAGGAACGUGCACCUUUAAAUGCCGAAUGUUGGGGCUGGAGAGACAGCUCUGUGGCUAAGAGCAUUGGCUGCUCUUGCAGAGGACCCAGAUUCAUUUAGUUCCCAGCACCCACAUGAUGGCUCACAACUACCUGUUACUCCAGUUCCAGGGGAUCUAACAGCUGUUUCUGGCCUCUUUGGGUAGUAGGCAUCCACGUGGUACAUACACACAUAUGCAGACAAAACACUCAUAUACAUAAAAGUAAAAUAAUUUAAAUGUGGAUUGUUUUACACAGUAAUUCAUCCUUGUGAGACCUCGAGUGCAGAACAGACUCUUGAAGGAGUCAACACAUUCAAGACUUAUAUGUUAACUCAACAAGAAUUAAGACAAGAACUUCACAGCUCCCAGACUAGCUCACCUCCAUUCUUGCACAGUUUGCUUCUCAGGAACGAGUUCCCUGCCCACCACCACCAUUACAAUGCAGAGCACAGGAACACCAAAACCAAAAGAAUAGGAACUGAACUUCCGGAAGCCAGUGUGAACUCCAAAUUAAAAGGUCGAGAAGUAGAUAUUACUGUCAUCACUAGGAAGUGAAACCAAUAAUGCAAAAACCAGGGAGACGGGCCAUCUCUGCUGUCAGAGUGCCCUCUGCUGUGGAGGGUCUUUUCCUCUUCAUGCCUGCUGUGAGCAAGUAUUUCCUCACCCCCAACAAACACCUUUCUUUAAUGGCUGAUUCUGUUGGCUGCUGUCUGUGGUGUCUGAGAUUUCUCUGCUGCCAUCUCUUGUACUCCAGACUCUUCCGGCCUUUUAAUUCUUUAACUGGAAGAGAACAAUCUCAAGCAAGAUCCCUGGACUGUGUCAUUUCAGAGGCUCUUCUUGGGUUUCUUCUGAAGAUGGUAUCAAUUUGGGAUCUUGUCUUGGGAUUUCUUUUGAGGACCACUGACUCAUGGAGAUGCUACUCGUAUGAUAAGCUGCAGAGAUGCAUACCAUCACCAAAUGGCUGUCUUAUGCUCUGGAUCACUGUCAUCACUUAAGUUUUAUUGUGGCUCCUUAGAGAGACCCUCCUCGAGGCACGCUGACUGCUGCCUCUCUAUCAGUUCAAGGCAGUCAAGACCUCAGAGCAGUUAGGGUGACCUCUGAGAGGGCAGAAGGAAAGACUAGGAGUUCAACAGACUCCCUGGUAGACAGAGAGGGAAGAGGCCUUGGCUAGGUAAAUAACAAAUUUCCAAACAAACACACAAAAAACAAAACCAUCACAAGCAAUGAUCUGAAUCUGAACUUACUUUUUAUUUUGCUUGAAUAAAGUACCUAAGUUAAAAAUCCAGAGUUGAAUAGACACAGUUCUUUUCCCGGUUGAUCCGAUGGGAAAUUGUUAGGUUCUGGGCAGGUCUUGAGGUGACUGCAGAUACACAGGUCUGCUUUCAACUCCAGGCACCCUUCCAAAUUCAUUAAGAUCUGAACCGAUGCCGGUAUCACUGAGAAGACGGUGCUUCUCUGCUUGGCAUUCCAUGAGCCAUCUCAGAUAAGUAAAGCUAGAUAUGAAUGUGGGGUUGUGCUGUGGGAUGGUCUGUAUGUCAAAUGCUCUGACUGGUCAAUAAAUAAAACAAUGAUUGGCCAGUGGCCAGGCAGGAAGUAUAG